Molecule: ribosomal RNA, 1113 nt
Filed under: Triticum aestivum (bread wheat)
Lineage: Eukaryota; Viridiplantae; Streptophyta; Magnoliopsida; Poales; Poaceae
Description: partial small subunit ribosomal RNA
Source: RNAcentral
AUGGGCAGCCUGAGGAGCACGCAGCACGACUGCGGCGGCGGCGUCAGCCACUCGCUCUCGUUCCUCCUUGGGGCUCUCCUCCCCACCGUGCUGCUCCUCUUCCUCGCCUCCGACCGGGUCGACGAGCAGCUGUCCAGCAUAUCGACCUUCCGGUUCCGGAACGGAUCGUCAGCUCAUCAGCUGACUAGCCAUGCUGCCGACCUCCCGACCAAUGGCUCGGAUGGUGGCGACAAAAAGGAGGAGUCAUUCCCGGGGCUGGCGGAGCUGCUGCCGAGGGUCGCCAUGGACGACGGGACGGUGAUCAUCACGUCGGUGAACGAGGCGUUCGCGCGGCCCGGCUCCCUGCUCGACCUCUUCCGCGGGAGCUUCCACGACGGCGAGGGGAUCGGGCACCUCCUCAACCACACCCUCAUCGUCGCCGUUGACCCCGGCGCCUUGGCCCUCUGCAAGGCCGUGCACCCCCACUGCUACCUCCUGGAGGUCAUGGCCGCCGGCGUCAGCUCCGCCAACGGCUUCAUGACCAGAAGCUACCUCGAGCUCGUCUGGUCCAAGCUCACCUUGCAGCACCGCGUCCUGCAGCUCGGCUACAACUAUCUCUACACCGACCUGGAUGUGCUGUGGCUGCGCAACCCGUUCCGGCACAUCAGCCUCUACGCCGACAUGGCCGUCUCGACGGACCGGUUCAACGGCGACGCCGAGGACCUGACGAACGCGCCCAACACCGGCUUCUACUACGUCAGGUCGACCAACCGCACGGUGGAGAUGGUGAGGCGGUGGCGGGCGGCGAGGUCGCGGUUCCGGCCGCUGGCCCACGACCAGGAGGUCUUCGAGGCGAUCAAGGGCGAGUUCGUCGCCGGCGAGCUGCGGAUAAAGCUGGUGUUCCUCGACACGGCGCUCUUCGACGGCUUCUGCGAGUACCACGGCGAGAUGGACCGGGUGUGCACGAUGCACGCCAACUGCUGCCUCCGGCUCGCGACCAAGAUGCACGACCUCCGGAACGUGGUCGCCGACUGGAAGAGGUACUCGAGCCUGCCGCCGCCGGAGAAGAUGAGCAGCAAGCUCAGGUGGACGUACCCCGCCAAGUGUGCGGCGACGAUGAAAAUACCGGCAUAA